CAGCAGCCUGCCUAUUGUGUCAUGAUAUGGAAACAUUUGUUUUUUUCUGCUUUUUUCUUCUCCCUCAGGUCCUAUAAAUUCAGAUCCUUCCUUUGCGGCUUCUAUUUCUUCCUGGUCACUCGCAUCUCGCUUGUUCCUCUGACCCACGCAGCCCUUGUAGCACCUGGAGGAGUGGUCAUCUGCUUUGCACACCAAAACCUUACACUGCAGAAUGAGCAAUGACCAGUAGAGGAGUCAUGCUAAAUCAUCAAUUGAGUGGUCUCAACAAAAGAACCCUUCAUCCUGAAAAUUCACACCACAUCUGAGCUGGUAAUCUGGUCUAACUCACUUACGAUACUCACAAGGAAGCUGAAUGCCAGAAAAAAUGAAAUGACUUAGCUAAGGUCAGACAGCUGUCGGUGGCAAAGUUGAUUGUAGAGCUCAAAUAUUUUGACACACAUUUUAGCUCUUUCUAUCAAAGUUUAUAAGACCAUGAAGAAUUACUAUCAUUCACCAAAUUCCAUAAUAUUAGCAUUAGAGUUUACCUGAUAUAACUCUAAAGAGGAAAGUUUUUGAGAGAUUGAAGAAUGGAAUAUGAUUAACUUGCCUUCAUAGACAUGCUUGUAUAUCUAUGAGAAUGGAGGAAUGAUUUGUCCAUUAGAGAGUGAGCCCCUCCAAGGCAGGGACUGUCAUCUGCCUUUCUUUGUAUUGACGGUGCUUGGCACAUAGCAAGCCCUUAAUAAAUGCUUAUUGAUUAACU
RNAcentral lists this long non-coding RNA (739 nucleotides) under Phascolarctos cinereus (koala). RNAcentral's name for it is "lncRNA (ENSPCIG00000035380.1)". Lineage: Eukaryota; Metazoa; Chordata; Mammalia; Diprotodontia; Phascolarctidae. The record is from RNAcentral.